CAUGCAAGUCGAACGAGAAUCUACUGAAAGAGUUUUCGGACGAUGGAAGUAGAGGAAAGUGGCGGACGGGUGAGUAACGCGUGAGGAACCUGCCUUGAAGAGGGGGACAACAGUUGGAAACGACUGCUAAUACCGCAUGAAGCAUAGGGGUCGCAUGAUUCUUAUGCCAAAGAUUUAUCGCUUCAAGAUGGCCUCGCGUCUGAUUAGCUAGUUGGCGGGGUAACGGCCCACCAAGGCGACGAUCAGUAGCCGGACUGAGAGGUUGAACGGCCACAUUGGGACUGAGAUACGGCCCAGACUCCUACGGGAGGCAGCAGUGGGGAAUAUUGGGCAAUGGGCGCAAGCCUGACCCAGCAACGCCGCGUGAAGGAAGAAGGCUUUCGGGUUGUAAACUUCUUUUAAGAGGGAAGAGCAGAAGACGGUACCUCUAGAAUAAGCCACGGCUAACUACGUGCCAGCAGCCGCGGUAAUACGUAGGUGGCAAGCGUUGUCCGGAUUUACUGGGUGUAAAGGGCGUGCAGCCGGGUCUGCAAGUCAGAUGUGAAGUCCAUGGGCUCAACCCAUGAACUGCAUUUGAAACUGUAGAUCUUGAGUGUCGGAGGGGCAAUCGGAAUUCCUAGUGUAGCGGUGAAAUGCGUAGAUAUUAGGAGGAACACCAGUGGCGAAGGCGGAUUGCUGGACGAUAACUGACGGUGAGGCGCGAAAGUGUGGGGAGCAAACAGGAUUAGAUACCCUGGUAGUCCACACUGUAAACGAUGAAUACUAGGUGUGCGGGGACUGACCCCCUGCGUGCCGCAGUAAACACAACAAGUAUUCCACCUGGGGAGUACGAUCGCAAGG
Molecule: ribosomal RNA, 840 nt
Filed under: uncultured bacterium
Lineage: Bacteria
Description: bacterial SSU rRNA
Rfam family: Bacterial small subunit ribosomal RNA
Source: RNAcentral